GAUGAACGCUGCGGCGUGCCUAAUCCAUGCAAGUCGAGCGAACAGACGAGGAGCUUGCUCCUCUGACGUUAGCGGCGGACGGGUGAGUAACACGUGGAUAACCUACCUAUAAGACUGGGAUAACUUCGGGAAACCGGAGUUAAUACCGGAUAAUAUAUUGAACCGCAUGGUUCAAUAGUGAAAGACGGUUUUGCUGUCACUUAUAGAUGGAUCCGCGCCGCAUUAGCUAGUUGGUAAGGUAACGGCUUACCAAGGCGACGAUGCGUAGCCGACCUGAGAGGGAGGUUGGCUACCCUGGAUCAGAGACAGGGCCGAGACACCUGCAGGAGGACGCAGUACGGAAUCUUACGCGAGGGGGCAGUGCGUGACGGAGCACAGUCGCGGGAGUGAUGAAGGUGUUAGGCUCGGUGAGCUCUGUUAUUAGGGAAGAACAAAUGUGUAAGUAACUAUGAACGUAUUGACGGUACCUAAUCAGAAAGCCCCGGCUAACUACGUG
RNAcentral lists this ribosomal RNA (496 nucleotides) under uncultured bacterium. RNAcentral's name for it is "partial 16S ribosomal RNA". It matches the Rfam family "Bacterial small subunit ribosomal RNA", at positions 28 to 507 of the family's 1533-position model. The record is from RNAcentral.